Molecule: ribosomal RNA, 440 nt
Filed under: uncultured bacterium
Lineage: Bacteria
Description: partial 16S ribosomal RNA
Rfam family: Bacterial small subunit ribosomal RNA
Source: RNAcentral
CCUACGGGAGGCUGCAGUGGGGAAUAUUGCACAAUGGGGGAAACCCUGAUGCAGCGACGCCGCGUGAGUGAAGAAGUAAUUCGUUAUCUAAAGCUCUAUCAGCAGGGAAGAAAAUGACGGUACCUGAGUAAGAAGCCCCGGCUAACUACGUGCCAGCAGCCGCGGUAAUACGUAGGGGGCAAGCGUUAUCCGGAUUUACUGGGUGUAAAGGGGGCGUAGACGGCAGUGCAAGUCUGGAGUUAAAGGCGGGGGCUCAACCCCCGGACUGCUCUGGAAACUGUACGGCUGGAGUGCAGGAGAGGUAAGUGGAAUUACUAGUGUAGCGGUGAAAUGCGUAGAUAUUAGGAGGAACACCAGUGGCGAAGGCGGAUUGCUGGACAGUAACUGACGCUGAGGCGCGAAAGCGUGGGGAGCAAACAGGAUUAGAUACCCCUGAAGUC